Molecule: long non-coding RNA, 233 nt
Filed under: Coccomyxa subellipsoidea
Lineage: Eukaryota; Viridiplantae; Chlorophyta; Trebouxiophyceae; Coccomyxaceae
Description: long non-coding RNA (CSUB_LNC000623)
Source: RNAcentral
UUCGCAUGGUUAGUUUGAGCUGUAUUGCUGAGGUCGUGCGGUACCGCUCUCCGUUAUACGAACAUUGCUUUAUCUUCAUGUAGAUUCAUAUAUUGUGUUACCGAUAUCUCAAGUGAUAGAUGGUGAUGUCCAAGGCUAGUUUUGGCCGGCAACUGAACAGUAAACUUCUGUCAGGGUACUUUAGUUGCUGCUCUCGUCCCGUCACGCUAUUGUAACUGACUACGAAAGGAUGG